AGAGGCCCCAAGUGCAGCACGCGGUGUUCCCUGCUGUGAUCUAGAAAUGCCCAUCCCCUGAACUUACCACACGGCUCGUGUCACCUCCAGACCCACUUCUCGUACAGGUCAAGGGACCCUUGACGAUCCACCGACUCACCGGCUGGGGCGGAACAGACACUAGAUGAACGGAAACUUUGAAAGUGAAACCAUGGCCAUCAGUUACUGAAGACCACAGAGGCCUAUGACAGUCUUCUUUAAAGUCACACAAUGCAGCCAACCUUGCAUUUCUGGAAUAUAUCCUCCAAUAUUCCUAACUGAGAUGCGUAUUAUCCAUUUUUGAUGCUAUUUUGGUUUUACAGAACUUAUUUGUGAAUUCUUGGAGGAGGCAGCUCUAAGAUAAUUUUCUACAUUUCUUCAAUAGUAACCAGUCUAUUUAAAUUUU
Molecule: long non-coding RNA, 424 nt
Organism: Suricata suricatta (meerkat)
Lineage: Eukaryota; Metazoa; Chordata; Mammalia; Carnivora; Herpestidae
Exons: 3
Source: RefSeq, a predicted model, not a curated record